GGAGGAAUAUUGGUCAAUGGGCGCAAGCCUGAACCAGCCAUCCCGCGUGAAGGAAGAAUGCGCUACGCGUUGUAAACUUCUUUUUCCAGGGGGGUAGAAUAAUCCUGUCGUGACAGGACUUGACGGUACUCUGGGAAUAAGCAUCGGCUAACUCCGUGCCAGCAGCCGCGGUAAUACGGAGGAUGCGAGCGUUAUCCGGAUUUAUUGGGUUUAAAGGGUGCGUAGGCGGAUUGAUAAGUCAGUGGUGAAAUUCUACAGCUUAACUGUAGACUUGCCGUUGAUACUGUUAGUCUUGAGUGUGGUCAAGGCAGGCGGAAUGUGUAAUGUAGCGGUUGAAAUGCUUAGAUAUUACACAGAACACCGAUUGCGAAGGCAGCUUGCCGGGUUCAUUACUGACGCU
RNAcentral lists this ribosomal RNA (400 nucleotides) under uncultured bacterium. RNAcentral describes it as "bacterial SSU rRNA". It matches the Rfam family "Bacterial small subunit ribosomal RNA", at positions 355 to 747 of the family's 1533-position model. The record is from RNAcentral.